GUGGGGAAUCUUGCGCAAUGGGCGAAAGCCUGACGCAGCCAUGCCGCGUGAAUGAUGAAGGUCUUAGGAUUGUAAAAUUCUUUCACCGGGGACGAUAAUGACGGUACCCGGAGAAGAAGCUCCGGCUAACUUCGUGCCAGCAGCCGCGGUAAUACGAAGGGGGCUAGCGUUGCUCGGAAUUACUGGGCGUAAAGGGCGCGUAGGCGGACAGCUUAGUCAGAGGUGAAAGCCCAGGGCUCACCUGGGAACUGCCUUUGAUACUGGCUGUCUUGAGUUUGGGAGAGGUGAGUGGAACUCCGAGUGUAGAGGUGAAAUUCGUAGAUAUUCGGAAGAACACCAGUGGCGAAGGCGACUCACUGGCCCAAUACUGACGCUGAGGCGCGAAAGCGUGGGGAGCAAACAGGAUUAGAUACCCCGGUAGUCC
This 424-nucleotide ribosomal RNA is filed under the name uncultured bacterium. RNAcentral describes it as "partial 16S ribosomal RNA". It matches the Rfam family "Bacterial small subunit ribosomal RNA", at positions 354 to 796 of the family's 1533-position model. The record is from RNAcentral.